CAUAUGCGUAUGUCAGUAGGGAAUAUUGCAUAAUGGGCGAAAGCCUGAUGCAGCAACGCCGCGUGUGCGAUGAAGGCCUUCGGGUCGUAAAGCACUUUUGAAGGGGAUGAGGAAGGACAGUACCCUUCGAAUAAGCUUCGGCUAACUACGUGCCAGCAGCCGCGGUAAAACGUAGGAAGCGAGCGUUAUCCGGAUUUACUGGGUGUAAAGCGCGUGUAGGCGGUUUGGCAAGUUGGAUGUGAAAGCUCCUGGCUUAACUGGGAGAGGUCGUUCAAAACUACCAGACUUGAGGAUGGGAGAGGGAGGCGGAAUUCCGGGUGUAGUGGUGAAAUGCGUAGAUAUCCGGAGGAACACCAGUGGCGAAAGCGGCCUCCUGGCCCAUAACUGACGCUCAGACGCGAAAGCUAGGGCGAGCAAACGCGAUAAGUUCACCACCUGGACUACGGCCGCAGUUAAACUCAGGAAUUGACGGGGGCGCACAAGCAGCGGAGCGUGUGGUUUAAUUCGAUGUUACACGAAGAACCUUACCAAGGUUUGACAUGCAAGUGGUAGGGAAGGGAAACCGGACCGACCCUUCGGGGAGCUUGCACAGGUGCUGCAUGGCUGUCGUCAGCUCGUGUCGUGAGAUGUUCGGUUAAGUCCGCUAACGAGCGCAGCCCUCGCUGUGUGUUACAAGUGUCACACGGGACUGCCGGUCUUAAGCCGGAGGAAGGUGGGGAUGACGUCAAGUCAGCAUGGCCUUUAUGCCUUGGGCUACACACACGCUACAAUGGGUAACACAAUAGGUUGCGAAGCCGCGAGGUGGAGCCAAUCCUGAAAGUUGCCCUCAGUUCAGAUCGUAGGCUGCAACUCGCCUGCGUGAAGACGGAGUUGCUAGUAAACACGCAGGUCAGCUAUACUGCGGUGAAUACGUUCCCGGGCCUUGUACA
RNAcentral lists this ribosomal RNA (929 nucleotides) under uncultured bacterium. RNAcentral's name for it is "bacterial SSU rRNA". It matches the Rfam family "Bacterial small subunit ribosomal RNA", at positions 335 to 1387 of the family's 1533-position model. The record is from RNAcentral.